GUCAUACACAAAACCUUUGGCAGCACAUAUACUAAAAUUGGAAUGUUACAGAUAUUAGCAUGGCAUUGUGCAAGGAUGACACACAAGUUCAUGAAGCAUUCCAUAUUCUU
This is a small nuclear RNA of Sciurus carolinensis (gray squirrel), 110 nucleotides long. NCBI's taxonomy places the organism in Eukaryota, Metazoa, Chordata, Mammalia, Rodentia, Sciuridae. The record is from RefSeq and is a predicted model, not a curated record.